Molecule: ribosomal RNA, 826 nt
Filed under: Sporobolomyces johnsonii
Lineage: Eukaryota; Fungi; Basidiomycota; Microbotryomycetes; Sporidiobolales; Sporidiobolaceae
Description: SSU rRNA
Rfam family: Eukaryotic small subunit ribosomal RNA
Source: RNAcentral
CAAUAGCAUAUAUUAAAGUUGUUGCCGUUAAAAAGCUCGUAGUCGAACUUCGGCGCCUGCCGGCCGGUCCGCCUUCUUGGUGUGUACUUGCUUCGGCGGGCGCUUACCUCCUGGUGAACUCUGAUGUCCUUUACUGGGUGUCAGAGCGAACCAGGACGUUUACUUUGAAAAAAUUAGAGUGUUCAAAGCAGGCCUACGCCCGAAUACAUUAGCAUGGAAUAAUAGAAUAGGACGCGCGUUCCCAUUUUGUUGGUUUCUGAGAUCGCCGUAAUGAUUAAUAGGGAUAGUUGGGGGCAUUUGUAUUCCGUCGUCAGAGGUGAAAUUCUUGGAUUGCCGGAAGACAAACUACUGCGAAAGCAUUUGCCAAGGAUGUUUUCAUUGAUCAAGAACGAAGGAAGGGGGAUCGAAAACGAUCAGAUACCGUUGUAGUCUCUUCUGUAAACUAUGCCAAUUGGGGAUCGGCACAGGAUUUUCAAUGACUGUGUCGGCACCCGAAGAGAAAUCUUUAAAUGAGGUUCGGGGGGGAGUAUGGUCGCAAGGCUGAAACUUAAAGGAAUUGACGGAAGGGCACCACCAGGUGUGGAGCCUGCGGCUUAAUUUGACUCAACACGGGGAAACUCACCAGGUCCAGACACAAUAAGGAUUGACAGAUUGAUAGCUCUUUCUUGAUCUUGUGGUUGGUGGUGCAUGGCCGUUCUUAGUUGGUGGAGUGAUUUGUCUGGUUAAUUCCGAUAACGAACGAGACCUUAACCUGCUAAAUAGACCAGCCGGCUUUGGCUGGCUGCUGUCUUCUUAGAGGGACUAUCAGCGUUUAGCUGAUGGAAGU